CCCUCCCUCACUCACUCACUCACUCUCUCCCUCACUCUCUCUCUCCCUCACUCUCUCUCUUGUUCCUUACUAUGAGAUACUCUGACUGUUCCUGUUUUGAGGAAGUGCUUUGGAGCUGAGAGGAAUAACUGCUUUAUAUGGAAGAGAGAACAGCUUCUCUACUGCGGAGAAUUGGUUCAAAAUGUAGCUUAAUCCGAUUACUAAUCUGGGAGAAUAUGAAACAACGGGGGACGUUGGGAGUUGCAGCGAUGGGACAAGACUGUAACUACCAAUUGGAGGGGGAAAAAAGGGCUGGUGAUCAGAGUGCACCUGUCAGAUGAGAGCUCUAAAACCAUGAUGGUGGACGAGAGACAGACUGUCAGACAGGUUCUGGACAGCUUGUUGGACAAGUCCCACUGUGGCUACAGUCCUGACUGGUCCCUGGUCGAGACCAUCAGCGAACUACAGAUGGAACGUAUCUUUGAGGACCAUGAGAACCUGGUGGAUAGCCUUCUGAACUGGAC
Molecule: long non-coding RNA, 503 nt
Organism: Oncorhynchus masou masou (cherry salmon)
Lineage: Eukaryota; Metazoa; Chordata; Actinopteri; Salmoniformes; Salmonidae
Exons: 3
Source: RefSeq, a predicted model, not a curated record